UUUGUGUGGUGUUUUUUUCAAGGGUUACUCUGAGCGCGCAAAUGGUUAAUUGAUGUGUUUCCAUCAAGUACUGCAGCCACACGGGGUUGGUGUUCACCGUGUCCACGUCGUACAUCAAAGUGUGGGACAUCCGGGACUCAGCGCGCUGCAUCCGCACCCUGACCAUGAAGCAUUUCACUUGGAAAGUCUCUGCUGCCACUCAUCGUACAACAGACUUAAAGCACAGCACUUGGCACCUAGCAGUGCUGUGAAGGGUUGGAAAGGCAGCGCACCAUUGAUUGCUGAGGGCCAAGAGACGGUUCAGACAACAGAAGCAUUUGUCCACAUUUCUGACAUGAAGGCUGUCGCCUCCCGAUCCGGCGACAAAUCAAGGCUGCUGUGUGAAAGUACCGUGCCUCCGCACACGGGAACAGACGGGACUCACACACAGUGUGUAACACCGAAUGUACCAGCUUAAUGCCACGCCACAAACCUACCCAAUGCCCAACAGGGGGGACCAGUCAAUGCUGCUCAUCAGCCAUCAACCCCGGAUGCUGGAGAAGGCAGACCAUGUUGUGGUGCUGGAGCAUGACACCAUGGCUGAGAUGGGGACACCCACCAAACUGAGGACCCGCGGUGGACCCUAUACAGCCGGGCUGCUGCUAGCACUGAGGACCACAGGCAGCUGGGUGGGAUUUUGCGAUGGGGCAUGGGAAGCUGUGGCUGUCUCCGGCUCCCGCUCGGAUGGAAGAGUUGGGAUGCUCUGGGAUUUGUUAUGGAAUAAUUAGAGUGUUUUUAGAGGAGCAGGUUGGGAUGUGGGGGUGUGGGCAAGCUCAGGCCUCAGUGCAUGGUUGGUUAUGGAAGCUGGGUGUCUGCCCUCAGAAUGUGGCUGUGGCAGCACUGUGGGUUAUGGGGGGGAAGCACAGCUCAGCCCAAUACUGGAUGAACUUUCCAGUCAUGUCUUCAUGCCAAAGCGGUGCAGAUAGCACAGGGAGUGCAAAGGGGAGGAGGAGAGCAGCAGUGUGAAAUGGAGCAAUGGGCAAAGAGUGUGGGGUGGGGGGAGGAGGGAUGAGGAGAGGUCCCCUCAUCCACCCCAACCCUGAGCACGGCACAGAGCAGAAUGCAGGCAGGCUGAGCACAGAACAGCCCAACACUUUAUUUCACAAGAAGCAGCACAGGAAAAGCGGUAAACAUGGCCCAUAUGAAGGAGAGGGGAGAUGUGAGAGGUAGAGGGGGAUUGGGGCUGGGUUC
Molecule: long non-coding RNA, 1230 nt
Filed under: Coturnix japonica (Japanese quail)
Lineage: Eukaryota; Metazoa; Chordata; Aves; Galliformes; Phasianidae
Description: lncRNA (ENSCJPG00005014551.1)
Source: RNAcentral